RNAcentral lists this ribosomal RNA (248 nucleotides) under uncultured bacterium. RNAcentral describes it as "partial small subunit ribosomal RNA". It matches the Rfam family "Bacterial small subunit ribosomal RNA", at positions 26 to 286 of the family's 1533-position model. The record is from RNAcentral.
AGAAUCAACGCUGGCGGCGUGCCUAACACAUGCAAGUCGAACGAGAAAGGGGUAGCAAUACCCUGAGUAAAGUGGCGCACGGGUGAGUAACACGUGACUAACCUACCCUUGAGUGGGGGAUAACUGAGGGAAACCUUAGCUAAUACCGCAUAAUACCCACGGGUCAAAGGAGCGAUUCGCUCGAGGAGGGGGUCGCGGCCGAUUAGUUAGUUGGCGGGGUAAUGGCCCACCAAGACGAUGAUCGGUAU